Molecule: unclassified non-coding RNA, 5973 nt
Organism: Actinia tenebrosa (Australian red waratah sea anemone)
Lineage: Eukaryota; Metazoa; Cnidaria; Anthozoa; Actiniaria; Actiniidae
Source: RefSeq, a predicted model, not a curated record
CCCCCCUCCCCACCUCAAAAAUUUAAUCCAUCACACGUGCACUGAUAAUUCAAACAGUUGCAUCAUAUUACGGUAUCCUUCAAAAGGAGUGGUUUGCUUGACCACAGCAAUUGAGAGGUUGGGGUAGUUUUUUUUAAGUAUUUUAGUCGCAAGGCUGGCAAAAAUACCUCAGACGAAUGGCUGAGAAGAAGAUUCAUCAGAUGGAUAUAGUUUGGUGUGCAAACCAUGAAGGUGGCUGUAAAUGGAUAGGCCAAGAAAAGCAUCUUGCAGAGGACCAUGCAAACAGAUGCAAUUUCAGGCGCAUCAUAUGUUCCUGCUGCAAUGUCACGAUACCGAAGGGGUACUACUAUAGCCACAUUCUGCAUUGCUGCAGAAAUAGAAUGGAGAAUGAGUUAAUUGGAAGGAGGAAGGAGAAAUUGUAGAGGAUGGCUCUCAUCAUGAUGAGUGGCUUUCUUCUUUGGAUCCAUGUCCAAAUUCACACCUAGGGUGUAAAUGGCGAGGUACACCUGCCAUGCUUAUAAAGGUACACCAAUUCCAAUGUAACAAGGAGUUCAAACCCUGUGCUGUUUGUGGGGAAAUAUGUUUAAAAGGGCAACUCAGUUCCCAUAUUCUUAACGAUUGUUCCUUGAGGCUUAGUCAUGUUGAAGGAACAUUUGGGGAUGGGAUUUGCACUUUCAAUGCAAAAUCUAUUGAAGAAAAAAUGGAUACCACCGAGCCAAAUGAAGAAAAAGCGAUGGAUGUAGAUGAGUAAAAUAAGUAAAAUGUUAAAAAUUAUUAUAUUUCAUUUAAAAAGAGAAAUUUUCCCCAAAACAUUUAAUGUAGAAAAUAGUUAUAAUAUUAAUAAUAUUAUAGAAUAAUAAUAAUAACGUAAUAAUUAAUAGGUAAAGUAACAUGUUAAACAUGAUAUUAUCUUUUUAUCCCCUUCAGUGUUAUUUAUAGCAGGUAUAGCUAGCAGUCACACAAAACUUGGCUUACUUAAAAUCAUUGAAGCAAGCUAAUAGUUGUAAAAUGAACUGCUUGUCAGGUAUUUUAAAAUCCUUAGCUGGUCAUAUGGUUCAAAACAAUUGGAAAGCUUUUUAAGAAAAGUUGUCAAUCAAUGGGAGAAGAUUAUUUUAUAUUCCCCAGAUUGGGAUUUAAAGACCAUUUUUAAUACUGUGAAUGUUAAUUGUUAUGAGCUGUCAUUUGGCAAGUGUUAGGUUUCCAGUCAAACCACCUCAAGCUUGAACAUGUAGAGGCAGACAUUUAUAAUGGCUUCCUAUUUUUGGAUUCCUGAUUUCUUUUUUUAUUUCAAUCAUUCAUUAUUGAAAACUAAUCUUCAAUAUUCAAAAGAUAAUAAUAGUUUGAAAAUUUGUUUAACUUGGCUCGUAGGCUCUUGUUUAUAGCAGAAACGGAAGGCAAGCCAUUAAUAUUACAUAUUCCUUGCACAAAACGCUCUUGCAUUUUAGCUAUAUAUUAUGCUGAUGGCUUUGGUAUAUGCUAGGCUUUGAAGACUUUAUUUCAAUAAUGAAUGUUCAAAUAGAAAAAUGAAAUCAAGAAUCCAAAAAUAAAGUCAUUAAUGACCUCUACGUGUUCACAUUUGAGUUGGUUCGUAAUGUAAUGUACGCUGUCAAUUCUGCAUAUGGCACAGUCGAUCUUUCAAAUUUCUAUACUGAGGCUACAGAGAUUUUUAACAAGUUGAAACCUCACAAAAUAAAUUCAUAAUUAGUUUAAAGACCCAUUGCCACUUACCGUGAUGCACCAUGGUCACAGAUAAAUUUCAUGGUCCAUGAUUAUAUUAAAUCCUUUUCCGACAUAGCACUAAGGCACAAUAAUGAUUCUUUUACAUUCUUUUACGGCUUUAGGGACUAUCUAAGAGUUUAUUCAAAAUGUUGGAAUUGUUUUUUCAGUGGAGUCACGAUUCAAAAUGUAAACAAAUUGUGAUGCAUCAUGGUAAGUAGCAAUGGGUCUUUAAUACGAAAGUUUGAGGUUUCAAAUAUUGUGGCCUAUAUAUAUAUGCUUAAUGGUUUUUAUAAAAUAUUUUUCAGCAUAUAUUUUUAGAAAAAUGAAUGGUUUUGGAAAUUUGGUUUCGUCAUAUUAUAUGUAUUAGGUAUACUGUCAAACAAAUUGAAAAAAAAUUCUUAACUAUUCCUUGUUGUUAUACAUUGACAGUUAUCUUUUUCAUAAUCCAUGCUUCACAUAAAUGUUUAACAGUAUUAUUUGAGAAAAGGUUAUUGAUCGCAGUACCCUUUCCUCUGGAAAGUAUCAUAUAUUAUGAAAUCAAAAAUCUUGAACUCAAAGCAAAAAUAUUUUGAAUUUGGAAAUAUUUCAACUUUUAUAUAUCUCACAGCUUUCAUCAGUCCUUCAUCAGUCCCACAGCCUUGACUUAUUUCUGUAAUCACGGAACGUUGAUUAGAAAUUAUUAGAAAUUAACUUAGUUUCAUAUUUAUUGUGUGGUUCCAGAAAAUAUCCAUACCUCCACCACCAUGGUUGGAAUUGGUAAAACGAUCCGGCCCUCCUACCCCCAGGAACUUCCAAUUUUCUUCUAUACAAACUCUGUAAUUUUGUUCUGUCUCUGACCCCGUCCCCUCCAGAAUUUCCAAUUUCCCCAUGCAUGGGUCGGGCAUGAAUAUUUUCUGGAACUACUCAUCGAUUUAUUAUAAUUAAUUGGAUUGAUUAUUUAAAAUUAACAAAAAUUAAUUGAAUAUUUAAAACUAGCAAAAAUACUCAUGUUUCAAGUUGUCAGUUCAGUGCAUAUAUUAUUUACAGCCUACUUAUAAAAGUUGAUUUUCACGAGAAAGCUGCAAUUAAGACUGCCACGUACGUACUCUGACAACCAUUCGUCUAGUGAUCACAUUCAAGAAUUUUGACAGAUACCGAAAAAACUCUUUGAGUUAAUUUAAAAACUUGAGAAAUGUAUAUAUGUAUAGAGAGAAAUUUAAUUUUUGCAAAAGUUAGUGGUUUUCCUGUAGUGUAAUAGUUUUUGACUAAAGUAGAGGCAAACACUCAGGGAAUUAGGAUUAGAAAACCUGAAACAUGAGUAUUUUUUUAUCUGAAUCUUUGAUCUAUAUAUAGACCAAAGAUAUCCAUGUCUCUGGCCUGUACGUACCUCAAAAAUAAAUCAAAAGUCUCUCGGGCAUUCACUGAUUUAAAAAUAAGAUGACUGUUAUUCAUCAUUUACCAUACAUUGGUUCACUGGUCAAACACAAAGCGCUCAAACGAGGCACCAAGGUACUUUCAAAGGAUUAUUCAAAUUUGAACCUUGCAACCUCGACUGAGUGCUUUGUGUUUGACCAGUGAACCGAUGCAUGGAAAACGGURAAUAGAAGUUCAUUUAGCGAUAAAUAAUGACUUACACAAAAUUUUAAUAGUUUUUAGUUUUUAUGCGCUCUAUUAAUAUGUUGCCAAUUAUUUAUUUUUAGGGAGCGUUCAUAAUAAUUAUUGAUUUUAUAUGUUAUGAUAUUUAAUAGUGUCUACUGAAAGUCUAUUUUUGGGGGUCACUAAAAAAUGUUGUUUGAGUGGCAGGCCACACAAAAAAAAAAUAAUUUCAAAAUAUAUAAUCCCCAAAGUCCCCCCCAUCCAUAGAUUAUGAAUGCUCCCUUAUAUGUUAGCUUAAAGCAUUAUUUUCUUAAAGUAGAUGUUUUAUAUAAAAAUAUAUCAUUCUUUGUUGUAUUUUACAUUUUUUUCAAUUUCAGUUUAUUAUUUAAWAUUCCAUAUUAACCUUGAAAAAGCGUUCGCGAGUAUAUUUUUGUGAGACCAAGAUACUGUAUUAAAAAAGGAAAAUGUGAAAGAAUAAGCCUUAAGUUUUGCAUACGCACUUAAAGCAUUGGGUAGAUGUUUUUCACUUGUGUCAAUUAGACCCAUAGCCUGCAUGUAUAGGCUACAGAUCGAAAGCCCUCUAGACACCAAACUGGUCUAUUUAACCCCAUAGCUCAUGCAUGAGUAAGAGUGAUUUUACUUGGCCUGAAAACAAACUAGUAGAACUAGUGAUCAUACUUUUUAUGGGCCAAGUAAAAUUGCUCUGGUACAAAAACUAGUUGGACUGUUAGUAGUAUUUGUUACAAAAUGAUAUUUUUCUACCUGACCAUUGAAUAUGGGAAAUAGACCACUAGUAGAGGCAAUCAGAAUGCAGGAUUUGUAACAAAAUGAUAUUUUCCUACCUGACCAUUGAAUAUGGAAAAUAGACCACUAGUAGAGCCAAUCAGAAUGCAGGAUUUGUAAUAGAGGUAUUGCACCACCACGUGACAUGUUGGAUGGCAGGAACAAUACAUCAUUUUACUUUUUUUUGAGAAAGAAUUCAAUUCCCAAGAGCAAAGGGAUUCUAUUGUUCUGYGAUCUAACCACAGGCAGCCCAAGCUGUAUUAUUGGCGUGGGCAUGGGAUGUUGCAAAACCUCUACAGUCCACUAGUUUGUUCAUUCUAAAAUUCAUUUAUUGCUGGGUUCCACUUGGUAUCAUUUCCUGUAGAAUAAAAUUCUCUCGGGUUGACAGCACAUGGUGGUCAGCAUUAUUUUGACAAUAAUUUGAAGAAGAUAAUGAGAUUCAAAGACUUUUAUCAGCUGAUUGAAACCCAGCAAUUCUUUUAAAGCCCACAGUUCUACUUUUAGUGAAACUUUCUUGUGGCAUAAGUUUCACCCUAAGUUGCGCUGUCUAAUGCCCAUGAAACUAAAUUGUCUCCCAACGGCAUUGCAUGCAAGUUUCAGCUAAAAGUUUCAAUAUGUAACAAGGCCUUUACUAUUCUAAGGACAAUGUGUAUUGAUGGUUAUCCCUUCGCCAUCAAAAAAGAGAAGGGAAUCUAUGACUCAUUCUGUUUUCCUAUGAUCCAUAUAAUAUAUUGUAAUUGUAAUUUUUUUAUUUUUAGUUAAUUUAGCAACACAGCUAAUUAUUGUGUUGCAUUUUUUCAACUAAACAUGCUAAAUUCUCAUUCAAUGUUUGAGUUACAAGAGGUUGUUUUCAGGGACACUUGAUAAAAUUGUUGUUUGGUUUAGCUUGAGUUACGGCAUUAUGGAUUAAAGGAAAGAUAGGAGAGCUUAAGAUGAACAAUAAUGAAAAUGCAUUACAGUCAAAACCACCUCAGGCGUCAUUAUUUGAUUCGAACAUUCAUUAUCAAAAUGAAGUCUUCAAAGCCUAGUGAAAGGAAUAUUUGUAAUAUCAAUGACUCAUGUUUCCGUUAUGAACAAGAGCCUAAGAGCCAAGUUAUUUGAAUUUUCAAACUAUUCUUUUUUUCUUAAUAUUAAAGACUUUUUUUCAAUAAUGAUGAAUGUUCAGAUCGAAUAAUAAAAUCAAAAUUCCAAAAAUAAGGUCUUUAAUGACCUCUACGUGUUCACGCUUGAGAUGGUUUGACUGUAAUUAAUAACAGUUUCAAAUUGCUUGAUUGGAACAAGAUUUCUCAAAUUUACUAAUAUUUCAUGGAAAAAAGUAAAAAAGUAAUUAAUACAGCAAUUGUGUUUAGAUGGAAUUUUGCAGUGAACUUGCCUACAGACUGAAUUGCAUACGCAAACUUGCCUAUCUAUAAGCCAAGUUGAUCCUUGGGCAAGUUCCCUGUAAUUCAGAAGAACUUCUGAAGGUGCAUUUACUGGAUACCAUUUGGGAUAUGCGAUCUCGAAUACCAUAAAGCUUUGUCAACUUUUGCUUUGAUUUUCUUCAAGAAAUAUUAAUAGUUUGAGAACUGAUAAAAAACAUGAAAGAAACACCUCAAAGUUGGUUAUGGCUAGGCCUACUUUUCUAUCAACCCACAUCUCAACAUUUGGAUAUUGAAUGAGACACUUUCUUGUCUAAUGAUCUAAAAAUAGUGUCUGAUUUGAUUGGUCAUCAAGCACACUUAUUUACUAGGUAAACUGUAUCUUUAAUAAUAUGUUGAUUUUGGUUGUGAUGAGCUGGCAACUGAUCGAUUGUUGAAGAAACGACUAGUUUAAAGGUGUGUUUUGAACAAUCAUAGCUAUUCUUACCCCAAAUCUUUUUUACAAAUUAUUUGCAAUAAAAGAGUACAUUAUCUCGUA